CGAGCGCGGAAGGGGGUCAUUAAAUCAGUUAUCGUUUAUUUGAUAGUACCUUACUACAUGGAUACCUGUGGUAAUUCUAGAGCUAAUACAUGCUAAAAACCCCGACUCACGAAGGGGUGUAUUUAUUAGAUAAAAAACCAACGCCCUUCGGGGCUCCUUGGUGAAUCAUAAUAACUUAACGAAUCGCAUGGCCUUGCGCCGGCGAUGGUUCAUUCAAAUUUCUGCCCUAUCAACUUUCGAUGGUAGGAUAGUGGCCUACCAUGGUGGCAACGGGUAACGGGGAAUUAGGGUUCGAUUCCGGAGAGGGAGCCUGAGAAACGGCUACCACAUCCAAGGAAGGCAGCAGGCGCGCAAAUUACCCAAUCCCGAUACGGGGAGGUAGUGACAAUAAAUACUGAUACGGGGCUCUUUUGGGUCUCGUAAUUGGAAUGAGAACAAUUUAAAUCCCUUAACGAGGAACAAUUGGAGGGCAAGUCUGGUGCCAGCAGCCGCGGUAAUUCCAGCUCCAAUAGCGUAUAUUAAAGUUGUUGCAGUUAAAAAGCUCGUAGUUGAACCUUGGGUCUGGCUGGCCGGUCCGCCUCACCGCGAGUACUGGUCCGGCUGGACCUUUCCUUCUGGGGAACCUCAUGGCCUUCACUGGCUGUGGGGGGAACCAGGAC
RNAcentral lists this ribosomal RNA (659 nucleotides) under Penicillium sacculum. Its description in RNAcentral is "SSU rRNA". It matches the Rfam family "Eukaryotic small subunit ribosomal RNA", at positions 82 to 749 of the family's 1831-position model. The record is from RNAcentral. Lineage: Eukaryota; Fungi; Ascomycota; Eurotiomycetes; Eurotiales; Aspergillaceae.